AACAACGAAGGAAGUUCCUGCCAAUUCUUCCGAAACCAUUGAUGGCAACCUUCAAUUUGGCAACUGUUUCUCCUUUCACUGGUCCUGCUGAUCCUGUGGUCUGAUUUGAGAUAAAAGUAAACGAGUUUCAGGAAAAAAGAUGUUUUACUGAGUAAGAGUAAAAAUGCUUACCUUGGGAGUGAGUUGAGCAGACACAACAUCAAAGAAGGAAGACUCUUUGUUACAAAAUGUCACACAUCCACUCGAUCGAAGACCAGAGAACUCUGCUACUUCAAAUUUCUACAAAAA
Molecule: long non-coding RNA, 288 nt
Organism: Solanum pennellii
Lineage: Eukaryota; Viridiplantae; Streptophyta; Magnoliopsida; Solanales; Solanaceae
Exons: 2
Source: RefSeq, a predicted model, not a curated record